AUGUAGUAGGAAAGAUAUUAGAUUUAAUAUUGGAUGUUUCUCUGAUGCUUACGUUGUUGCUGAGAACAAGUAAAAUGACCUACAAAUGAGAUUUUUCAAUAUUCAAUAAAACUCCUAAGUACAGUUCACAUUCCAAGGGACACUUUAUUCUGCACUCUGUUGCUUAUUGUUGCAAUAAAUAAAGUUGUACGAAUUAAUACAUGUUUGCUUAUAUUUUUCUAGGACUUCAUAGGUUGUGCAUGGGGAAUUGAGCAUAUUUCUCUAGUCAUGGUAUCCGCAGGAUGUGCGAUAUGUCUGUUUUCCGGUUUCUAUGCUUUGGUAGAAAAAUAUGUAGGUAGAUAUGUAUUUAUCGCAAUUGCUGCAGCUCUCAACUUUACUUUGCUCGUUAGAAUGCUAUAUUGGAUCCCGGAUUCAACUGAGCCGACAAUGAUGUUUGUCGCUGCUGCUAUGUGGGGAGCUAUUAUAGGAAUUAUGUGGUGCCAAAUAAAAGCAUUUAUUGGACUCAUUUUUAAAGAAGAAGAAGAAACUGCUUUUGGGUGUUAUCAGCUCUAUCAUGCUCUAGGAUGUGCUGUGUUUUACGCCAUAAACAACUAUGUAUGCACAUAUGUGAAAAUAUACAUAAUGUUAGCAAUAUCUGCAAUCGCUAUUAUUUGUUAUUUAUUUGCAGAAAGAAACUAUAGUUUAAGUAAAAAGCAGUAUAAAAAAACAUGCACUUCAAUAAAAUAACAUUUUAUAAUAACUAAGAAGCUGUUGUGCUGCUUUGAAGGUGUUGUGCUUUCUACUGUGCGUACCUCUGUCGUCAUAUUUUACCAAUAAUAGAAUAUGCUUUUCUACUGUCUAAAGUUUUAAUAAAGACAUUACUGUUAACUUAGAGCUUUAAAGAGGCGAAAAUUUAAAUUUUUUUAUGAGCCAUAAUGAAUUGUAUAAAUGAUGAUGUAUUUUUAUGUAUAAAGGAUAUUUAUGGAG
This is a non-coding RNA of Parasteatoda tepidariorum (common house spider), 966 nucleotides long. The record is from RefSeq and is a predicted model, not a curated record. Lineage: Eukaryota; Metazoa; Arthropoda; Arachnida; Araneae; Theridiidae.